UUAGAUAAAAGGAACAGCGAGUGCAGAAACUCCAGGGCAAGAGUGUACAGGGAGGCCAUCAUAGCUGAAGCAAAGUGGACAAGAAAGUGGUAGAGAAUCAGGAAACAUUGGUAACAAAGCAGCCAGGUUGUAAAAGGACUUGUAUGCUCCUGUAAAGAAUGUUGGCUUUUUACUAAGUACAAUGAGAAAACACUGAAGGGUUAUUGCAGAAGAAUGAUAUAAUAUAACAUACAUUUUAAAAGGACAGCUCCGCUGGCUGCAUUGAGAAUAACCUGAGCCAACCUAGAAGUUGUGAUGAUACUCCUGGCUUGGACUAGAAUAAUGCAGGUAGAAGGGAUGAAAACCGGUUUGCUGAUGGUUUGCACAUGGCAUGUGUGGGAAACGGAGGAAUCAAGGAUGUCAUAAUGUCAUGUGGAUGUGAGCUUUUUCCAGUCCACUGAAAAAGCCAGAUGUGUUAUCAUUAUCCCACAGCAAAACAUCCAUAUCCCUGGCUUCAUUGUACCUCCUGCCUGAACUGUGCUGGAUAAACAGCCAAACACUGACUGUCUCCUUUUCAAGUUCCUUGCUGUCUAUGCCAAGAACCUGGACACCCUCCACCAUUAACAUGUUUUGGCCAGCCAUCCCAGAGGAAGAGAAACCAUCAAGCUUCAGCAGAUCAUGCAACAAAGGUUCCAGCCAGUUCCAGGUGAAGACACUGCCCGUGGCCAUAAAGAAGUUACCCUGCCUCCACUAGACAGGACAGGGUGAGAGUUCUGUAAUCCCAGAUAGGUAGGGACUACUCCUCAAAACAGCAUGAAGCAGUUACAGAAAAAAGGACCAUUAGUUCGUCUGCCUCCCAUAAAGAUUUACGGGAAUUGCAUCCCUUGGGGAGAUAUAAGGUAGGAAAAUAGGGUCUGGAGGCAGGGAACAUAAGGCCGAUUCACACUUCAGCUGUAACAGGAAAUAUCUUCUCUAUAAGGCAUACGCCAUAAAUGCCUUUGUAACUUUACUUUCCUCUUCAUUGACAUAGGGCAUACCCCAAGUAGAGGGUAUUUAGACUCACAAAAACUCUGUAACAGGGCCUUUGAGCCCCUAUGCUUACGCCUGCUCCCACACUGUGGAGUGUACUUUCAUUUUCUUUUAAUUUUUUUUUUUUUUUUUUUUGAGACAGAGUCUCA
Long non-coding RNA from Macaca mulatta (Rhesus monkey), 1157 nucleotides. RefSeq lists it as uncharacterized. NCBI's taxonomy places the organism in Eukaryota, Metazoa, Chordata, Mammalia, Primates, Cercopithecidae. The record is from RefSeq and is a predicted model, not a curated record.